This 495-nucleotide ribosomal RNA is filed under the name uncultured bacterium. Its description in RNAcentral is "partial 16S ribosomal RNA". It matches the Rfam family "Bacterial small subunit ribosomal RNA", at positions 28 to 507 of the family's 1533-position model. The record is from RNAcentral.
GACGAACGCUGGCGGCGUGCCUAAUACAUGCAAGUAGAACGCUGAAGGAGGAGCUUGCUUCUCUGGAUGAGUUGCGAACGGGUGAGUAACGCGUAGGUAACCUGCCUGGUAGCGGGGGAUAACUAUUGGAAACGAUAGCUAAUACCGCGUAAUAGUAGAUGUUGCAUGACAUUUGCUUAAAAGGUGCAAUUGCAUCACUACCAGAUGGACCUGCGUUGUAUUAGCUAGUUGGUGGGGUAACGGCUCACCAAGGCGACGAUACAUAGCCGACCUGAGAGGGUGAUCGGCCACACUGGGACUGAGACACGGCCCAGACUCCUACGGGAGGCAGCAGUAGGGAAUCUUCGGCAAUGGACGGAAGUCUGACCGAGCAACGCCGCGUGAGUGAAGAAGGUUUUCGGAUCGUAAAGCUCUGUUGUAAGAGAAGAACGAGUGUGAGAGUGGAAAGUUCACACUGUGACGGUAUCUUAACAGAAAGGGACGGCUAACUACGUG